GGCAGCGUAGCGUAGUGGUAAAGGGCAGGGCUCUUAACCGAAAGCUUGCUGGUUCGAUUCCCCGCUGGAG
This is a non-coding RNA of Megalops atlanticus (tarpon), 70 nucleotides long. The record is from the annotation of a GenBank genome assembly. NCBI's taxonomy places the organism in Eukaryota, Metazoa, Chordata, Actinopteri, Elopiformes, Megalopidae.